CGUUUCGGCGGGGCUGUGCGGGACUCCCGAAAGGGGGUGCCGGUCCUUCGUCCGGUCGACCAACCCGCACAGUCCUGCCACCCUC
This 85-nucleotide non-coding RNA is filed under the name Paracidovorax anthurii. The record is from RNAcentral. Lineage: Bacteria; Pseudomonadati; Pseudomonadota; Betaproteobacteria; Burkholderiales; Comamonadaceae.